This is a long non-coding RNA of Ipomoea nil (Japanese morning glory), 201 nucleotides long. RefSeq lists it as uncharacterized. NCBI's taxonomy places the organism in Eukaryota, Viridiplantae, Streptophyta, Magnoliopsida, Solanales, Convolvulaceae. The record is from RefSeq and is a predicted model, not a curated record. The transcript is spliced from 3 exons.
AAAGACAAGCAAUUAAUGUCAUUGGAGUUGUGAUUUCUAAACUACCAAGAAAAUUUAUUGUCACCAACAAGACAAGACAACAAAAAGCUAAUGAUUUUGUGAUGGUUGAUGAAGAGCUUAAACCUAUCAUUUUCACAAUGUGGGGAAAUUUUACGGUUUAUCAAGGCGUUGAAAUUGACAAAGAACUCCAAUAAGGAGAUU